UACGUAGGUGGCAAGCGUUGUCCGGAAUUAUGGGGCGGAAAGCGCGCGCAGGCGGCCUGUUAAGUCGGAUGGGAAAGCCCCCGGCGCAACCGGGGAGGGGCAUUGGAAACUGGGAGGCUUGAGUAUAGGAGAGAAGAGUGGAAUUCCACGUGUAGCGGUGAAAUGCGUAGAGAUGUGGAGGAACACCAGUGGCGAAGGCGACUCUUUGGCCUAUAACUGACGCUGAGGCGCGAAGGCGUGGGGAGCAAACAGG
This 253-nucleotide unclassified non-coding RNA is filed under the name uncultured Caryophanales bacterium. RNAcentral's name for it is "uncultured Bacillales bacterium contains 16S-23S intergenic spacer region". It matches the Rfam family "Bacterial small subunit ribosomal RNA", at positions 524 to 776 of the family's 1533-position model. The record is from RNAcentral. Lineage: Bacteria; Bacillati; Bacillota; Bacilli; Caryophanales.